This is a long non-coding RNA of Gossypium raimondii (Peruvian cotton), 633 nucleotides long. RefSeq lists it as uncharacterized. The record is from RefSeq and is a predicted model, not a curated record. Lineage: Eukaryota; Viridiplantae; Streptophyta; Magnoliopsida; Malvales; Malvaceae. The transcript is spliced from 2 exons.
GGUGUCAGUGCAGUAAUUGUAAAUCAUGUAAUUUUUCUGAACCCAUUUCAGCCUUUCUUGGCUCGUUAUAUCCAGUUCUUGCGAUAGCCAUGCAUUUUGAGAGGGUGAGGUGGAGGAACAUGAUGAUUUACCGGAAGACCAGACACAUGCAUCAGCUUUGAAAGUCCUGUAAGAAGCAGUGAAAGGAGCUUGGCUCCAGUCCGUCUUAACAAGACCACCUCGAGUGGCCCAAUCAUCGGCGUUCCAAAGACUCGAAUACACUCUCAUCGGCUGGCUCUUUGGGAACGCAACGCCCUUUGAUUCCAAGUUCUUGAACUCUCUAAUUGGUGUCCCAUCAACAGAGAAGCUGUAAACAUUCAAAAGAAUCACAAUUAAACAUACUGAAAAUAAUCGAAACUGAAACGUUUUUAGAAAAAUGGGAUUGUAAAAUAAGACAUACAUAAUACGUUGAGGGUUCCAAAGAAGGGAGUAGGUAUGAAAGUCUUUGGUGGGAUCGAACCAAAGGUAGAACUGUUGCUCUUUGUCACCUUUGCCUUGUGUAUAUACAUUGGUGUGGACUAUGUAUGGGUCUCCGCUUAGGUUCCCCAAGAAUUCGAAGUCGAUUUCAUCCCAUGUCGACCCUUCCGAACGAAG